UCUGACAAUAGCAAUUCGGAUGUAACCUAACGUCGCGAACAAGUACAGAAUGGGGCAAAGAGGCUUCGUAAAAGGCUGCAAGUCAGCUAAAACGGAACACACUGUGUAAGGACUCAAUCAGAUCCCGAACGCUGCCGCCAGCCCAAACUGACAAGUCGAGACGGGCCUGCUAUUUGGCAGCACACGCGGUCCAUAAAGAACCAGUCACCACGGAGACUUGCCUUUUGAGGCGAAAUGUCACAAAGUUGCCCCGACGGAGAUGCACUUUAUUGAAAAUAAAGGUGGAAAAACACGGGCGAGGACGUAGGAAGGAAGGCAAAAACAACGCAAGCUUGGAUGCCAAACCCCUUUUAUCCCCAGCUGAGUCGCAUUCCAGCCGCCACACUGACCUGGGAUUAACUAAGUCCGCGCAACCAGAAUAUGAUUCGUGGCCAACUUUGGACACAUAUCUGGAGAUGAUCGGUCAGAGGUCGGACUCACCUCCAAGUGCUAAUUCUUUAUCUUCAGAAGACAUUCUGGACAGUUGCGUGCGUCCAAAUGUGGAGCAGCGGGUUACGAAAGGGCAUUCUGGUGCUAUCUUCGUCUAUCUGGAGCCAGAUGAGUGAGAAACUCGGGGAAGGACGUAAAUGGCAACUCGACCGAAUGUAAAGGCGAAGGAGCUGCAGACAAACAUCUCUCCUCAGCGCCAUAAUGAGAAAAACAGGUUGCCGUGAUUGGAAGCGACGCAGUGAGCACAGAGGGAAGAAGCGGAAGACCUCUUCUUGGCGUGGUCCUCGCUAGACAAAACACCUCCUCUGCUUCUGCCAAACGGCUCUGACGGCUUCAUUCGGAGAGCCGACGAGCAGGCACACUGGGCCGGCGAGGGCCAAGUGCCUUCCGAACUAUCUUUCCUCGCCAUCUGUCUCGCCGAUAGAGGACCACGACACGACUUAUCGUACAGUACAUCCCCAACUGUUGAGAUGUGGAGCUUCCCAAAUCUGGAUUUUGGGUAGGAAAGUACAGGACAGUGCACCUGCGGACAAUGUUAGUAAAAAAAAAAUAAAAGAAAUCAAAUCUCCCCCCAAAAAAGCCAAGUGGAGGUGGGAUUGUGAUUUGGCAUUUUAUACCGGUGGAUGGAAAUGAGACAGCUUUGCAUGUUUGAUCUUAGGCAGAUUCUGCCCCCCUCCUCUUUCCUCGCCUCAAGUAGAAAGAAUGUCAAACAAUAAAGUGUCGUGCUUGUCGGAAAAUGUGCAAUCUUAUGCCCCCCUCGAACUUCUGCGAGGAGUCAAAAUAACUUGCCUUCCGCUCAACUUCAUUGAAAUAGUUUGUUCUGAUUCCGAAGAUAAAAGCCUGUUUGUUUUGUGAAAUUAUUCGUCCCGGGGAGCCGCCUUCGGCCCGGACGGAGCGGAAGGAACGCGGGAAAUCGGACAGCGAGUCUUGUGACUGUUUGUGUGUAGGUGGGUUCGCGCGGUAGCCCGAUGGGUCGCUGCCACGUUCGUCAAAACGGAACACGAAUCGGCGCGAGUCUGACCUCUCACCUUGCGAUUACAAUGAAACCGUGCGUUUGGCUCGGCUUUUAGGGAUUUUGUGGGUAGAUUCCAGAACAUCAACAGUCCACCAAGCUUCCCAAAAGUUUAGUAGCACAUUAAUCAGCAGCAUCUGGGUCCAGAUGUCUGAUUUUCUCAUUAGCCUGGCCUCAAAAUAUGAAACCACACAAAAGCACUUUGGGAAAUGGCCGAAAUCCUCUAUCGGAAUCACCACCCAGGGCCAAACGUCAGGCCGUCGUGUUCCCCCCCUGAAGCUUCGAGCCAAUGCCUGGAAACGCACUCACCGGUCACAAACGCCCUUGUACAACCUGUGACAACAAAAACAACAGCCCAUAAAAAAAAAUGUAAAAAAAUACUAUCAAAGAUAUGCUGGAGUGAAUAUCUGACAGUGUCAAUUAACUGCGGUAUUUUGUUUGCCUAAAGACGCGAGUUAAGGUGUCGUACGUAGUGAGACAAAAUAAGAGUUCUGUGCUUGUCUUAUACGAAUAACCCUGAGCUUUUUUCCCCCCCUCUCCCUUUUCUUGAAGUAGGAUGUCGUGAAAAUGAGCUAAUUAGUUGUCUAAACAUUUGCUUGUUGGCUGCUCGUUGACUUUUGGCCACUUGCGACUUCUCACGGCAUCUUCCGUUCUUUGGCACCGUAGUGGCACUCAUAGUUGCUUUUGUCAUGUUUUGA
Long non-coding RNA from Phycodurus eques (leafy seadragon), 2199 nucleotides. RefSeq lists it as uncharacterized. The transcript is spliced from 3 exons. The record is from RefSeq and is a predicted model, not a curated record. Lineage: Eukaryota; Metazoa; Chordata; Actinopteri; Syngnathiformes; Syngnathidae.